RNAcentral lists this ribosomal RNA (406 nucleotides) under uncultured bacterium. RNAcentral's name for it is "partial 16S ribosomal RNA". It matches the Rfam family "Bacterial small subunit ribosomal RNA", at positions 30 to 526 of the family's 1533-position model. The record is from RNAcentral.
AUUGAACGCUGGCGGCAGGCCUAACACAUGCAAGUCGAACGAGUGGCCGACGGGUGAGUAAUGUAUGGGAAACUGCCUGAUGGAGGGGGAAAACUUCUGGAAACGGUAGCUAAUACCGCAUAACAUCAGAUGUGCCCAGAUGGGUUUAGCUUGUUGGUGGGGUAACGGCUCACCAAGGCGACGAUCCCUCGAUGGUCUGAGAGGAUGAACAGCCACACUGGAACUGAGACACGGUCCAGACUCCUACGGGAGGCAGCAGUGGGGAAUAUUGCACAAUGGGCGCAAGCCUGAUGCAGCCAUGCCGCGUGUAUGAAGAAGGCCUUCGGGUUGUAAAGUACUUUCAGCGGGGAGGCGUUACCGGCAGAAGAAGCACCGGCUAACUCCGUGCCAGCAGCCGCGGUAAUUC